AGUGGCGCACGGGUGAGUAACACGUACGCAAUCUGCCUUGUGCAGGAGGAUAGCCCUGGGAAACUGGGCGUAAUACUCCAUGGUAUUGUCCAAUUGCAUGAUUGGAUAAUUAAAGCUACGGCGGCACGAGAUGAGCGUGCGUCUGGAUUAGGUAAUUGGGGAAGGAACGGGCUCACCAGGCCCGACGAUCAGUAAGGGGCGUGAGAGCGUGGCCCCUCACACGGGUACUGAGACACGGACCCGACUCCUACGGGAGGCAGCAGUAAGGAAUAUUGGACAAUGGGCGGAAGCCUGAUCCAGCCAUCCCGCGUGCAGGAUGACGGCCCUAUGGGUUGUAAACUGCUUUAGACUGGAAAGAAAGUUGCGGAUUUAUCUGUAAUUGACGGUACCAGUAGAAUAAGCACCGGCUAACUCCGUGCCAGCAGCCGCGGUAAUACGGAGGGUGCAAGCGUUAUCCGGAAUUACUGGGUUUAAAGGGUGCGUAGGCUGCUAUGUAAGUCAGAGGUGAAAGCCCGCCGCUUAACGGUGGAAUUGCCUUUGAUACUGCAUAGCUUGAAACAGGUUGAGGUUGGCGGAAUGUGACAUGUAGCGGUGAAAUGCAUAGAUAUGUCAUAGAACACCAAUUGCGAAGGCAGCUGACUGGACCUGGUUUGACGCUGAGGCACGAAAGCGUGGGGAGCGAACAGGAUUAGAUACCCUGGUAGUCCACGCCCUAAACGAUGCUUACUCGAUAUUCGUCCUUCGGGGUGAGUGUCCAAGCGAAAGCGAUCAGUAAGCCACCUGGGGAGUACGCCCGCAAGGGUGAAACUCAAAGGAUUGACGGGGGUCCGCACAAGCGGUGGAACAUGUGGUUAAUUCGAUGAUACGCGAGGAACCUUACCUAGGCUCGACUGGUA
RNAcentral lists this ribosomal RNA (896 nucleotides) under uncultured organism. RNAcentral's name for it is "bacterial SSU rRNA". It matches the Rfam family "Bacterial small subunit ribosomal RNA", at positions 94 to 990 of the family's 1533-position model. The record is from RNAcentral.